CCGGCGACCGGCGCACGGGUGAGUAACACGUAUGCAACCUGCCCGUGGCAGGGGGAUAAGCGGGGGAAACCCCGUCUAAUACCGCGUAACGCGGCCUAGGGACAUCCCAAGGCCGCCAAUGGGAGCAAUCCCGGCCACGGAUGGGCAUGCGGCGCAUUAGCUAGUCGGCGGGGUAACGGCCCACCGAGGCGACGAUGCGUAGGGGUUCUGAGAGGAAGGCCCCCCACACUGGUACUGAGACACGGACCAGACUCCUACGGAAGGCAGCAG
RNAcentral lists this ribosomal RNA (270 nucleotides) under uncultured bacterium. RNAcentral describes it as "partial 16S ribosomal RNA". It matches the Rfam family "Bacterial small subunit ribosomal RNA", at positions 88 to 354 of the family's 1533-position model. The record is from RNAcentral.